UACGGAGGGGGCUAGCGUUGUUCGGAUUUACUGGGCGUAAAGAGCGCGCAGGCGGUCGUUCAAGUCGCGUGUGAAAGCCCCCGGCUCAACUGGGGAGGGUCACGCGAUACUGAUCGACUCGAAGGCAGGAGAGGGAAGUGGAAUUCCCGGUGUAGUGGUGAAAUGCGUAGAUAUCGGGAGGAACACCAGUGGCGAAGGCGACUUCCUGGCCUGUUCUUGACGCUGAGGCGCGAAAGCUAGGGGAGCAAACGGG
RNAcentral lists this ribosomal RNA (253 nucleotides) under uncultured bacterium. Its description in RNAcentral is "partial 16S ribosomal RNA". It matches the Rfam family "Bacterial small subunit ribosomal RNA", at positions 524 to 776 of the family's 1533-position model. The record is from RNAcentral.